This 386-nucleotide ribosomal RNA is filed under the name uncultured Porphyromonadaceae bacterium. RNAcentral describes it as "bacterial SSU rRNA". It matches the Rfam family "Bacterial small subunit ribosomal RNA", at positions 354 to 739 of the family's 1533-position model. Lineage: Bacteria; Pseudomonadati; Bacteroidota; Bacteroidia; Bacteroidales; Porphyromonadaceae. The record is from RNAcentral.
UGAGGGAAUAUUGGGUCAAUGGGCGGGAGCCUGAACCAGCCAAGUCGCGUGAGGGAGGAAGGUCCUACGGAUUGUAAACCUCUUUAGCCGGGGAGCAACGUGCGCCACGUGUGGCGCAGUGAGAGUACCCGGAGAAUAAGCAUCGGCUAACUCCGUGCCAGCAGCCGCGGUAAUACGGAGGAUGCGAGCGUUAUCCGGAUUUAUUGGGUUUAAAGGGUGCGCAGGCGGCGCGCCAAGUCAGCGGUCAAAGUUCCGGGCUCAACCCGGUGUCGCCGUUGAAACUGGCGUGCUCGAGUGCGUGCGAGGAAGGCGGAAUGCGUUGUGUAGCGGUGAAUGCAUAGAUAUCACUCAGAACACCGAUUGCGAAGGCAUCUCGCGAGGGGUCA